This 990-nucleotide ribosomal RNA is filed under the name Staphylococcus aureus SJOS6123. RNAcentral's name for it is "bacterial SSU rRNA". It matches the Rfam family "Bacterial small subunit ribosomal RNA", at positions 8 to 979 of the family's 1533-position model. The record is from RNAcentral. Lineage: Bacteria; Bacillati; Bacillota; Bacilli; Caryophanales; Staphylococcaceae.
AGAGUUUGAUCCUGGCUCAGGAUGAACGCUGGCGGCGUGCCUAAUACAUGCAAGUCGAGCGAACGGACGAGAAGCUUGCUUCUCUGAUGUUAGCGGCGGACGGGUGAGUAACACGUGGAUAACCUACCUAUAAGACUGGGAUAACUUCGGGAAACCGGAGCUAAUACCGGAUAAUAUUUUGAACCGCAUGGUUCAAAAGUAAAAGACGGUCUUGCUGUCACUUAUAGAUGGAUCCGCGCUGCAUUAGCUAGUUGGUAAGGUAACGGCUUACCAAGGCAACGAUGCAUAGCCGACCUGAGAGGGUGAUCGGCCACACUGGAACUGAGACACGGUCCAGACUCCUACGGGAGGCAGCAGUAGGGAAUCUUCCGCAAUGGGCGAAAGCCUGACGGAGCAACGCCGCGUGAGUGAUGAAGGUCUUCGGAUCGUAAAACUCUGUUAUUAGGGAAGAACAUAUGUGUAAGUAACUGUGCACAUCUUGACGGUACCUAAUCAGAAAGCCACGGCUAACUACGUGCCAGCAGCCGCGGUAAUACGUAGGUGGCAAGCGUUAUCCGGAAUUAUUGGGCGUAAAGCGCGCGUAGGCGGUUUUUUAAGUCUGAUGUGAAAGCCCACGGCUCAACCGUGGAGGGUCAUUGGAAACUGGAAAACUUGAGUGCAGAAGAGGAAAGUGGAAUUCCAUGUGUAGCGGUGAAAUGCGCAGAGAUAUGGAGGAACACCAGUGGCGAAGGCGACUUUCUGGUCUGUAACUGACGCUGAUGUGCGAAAGCGUGGGGAUCAAACAGGAUUAGAUACCCUGGUAGUCCACGCCGUAAACGAUGAGUGCUAAGUGUUAGGGGGUUUCCGCCCCUUAGUGCUGCAGCUAACGCAUUAAGCACUCCGCCUGGGGAGUACGACCGCAAGGUUGAAACUCAAAGGAAUUGACGGGGACCCGCACAAGCGGUGGAGCAUGUGGUUUAAUUCGAAGCAACGCGAAGAACCUUACCAAAU